Molecule: ribosomal RNA, 460 nt
Filed under: uncultured bacterium
Lineage: Bacteria
Description: partial 16S ribosomal RNA
Rfam family: Bacterial small subunit ribosomal RNA
Source: RNAcentral
CCUACGGGAGGCAGCAGUGAGGAAUAUUGGUCAAUGGCCGUAAGGCUGAACCAGCCAAGCCGCGUGAAGGAAGAAGGAUCUAUGGUUUGUAAACUUCUUUUAUAGGGGAAUAAAGGUAUCCACAUGUGGAUCUUUGCAUGUACCCUAUGAAUAAGCAUCGGCUAACUCCGUGCCAGCAGCCGCGGUAAUACGGAGGAUGCGAGCGUUAUCCGGAUUUAUUGGGUUUAAAGGGUGCGUAGGUUGUUUUUUAAGUCAGCGGUGAAAGUUUGUGGCUCAACCAUAAAAUUGCCGUUGAAACUGGAAGACUUGAGUGUGUUUGAGGUAGGCGGAAUGCGUGGUGUAGCGGUGAAAUGCAUAGAUAUCACGCAGAACUCCGAUUGCGAAGGCAGCUUACUAAGCCAUAACUGACACUGAAGCACGAAAGCGAGGGGAUCAAACAGGAUUAGAUACCCCGGUAGUC